This 233-nucleotide long non-coding RNA is filed under the name Elaeis guineensis (African oil palm). RNAcentral describes it as "long non-coding RNA (EGUI_LNC002015)". The record is from RNAcentral. Lineage: Eukaryota; Viridiplantae; Streptophyta; Magnoliopsida; Arecales; Arecaceae.
GCGCCAAGAACUAGUGUCCAAAGGGGUUUUCUUACAUGAACCAAAAGCAACCAUGUCUGAGUGACGGCAAGGCCACAUGAUCUUUAGAUCUUUCCAAAGCAUCUAAUCCCUUGUUCGUGUUCAUUGUAUCUUUAGCUUUUUAUUUCUUAAUUCCAGAGAAAUGGACAAGAAGGACGGCCAAGGCCAGCCAGGCCAUGUCCCACCCAAGGAGGAGUAAUCCCAAAGCUAUGUCA